This 253-nucleotide ribosomal RNA is filed under the name uncultured bacterium. RNAcentral describes it as "partial 16S ribosomal RNA". It matches the Rfam family "Bacterial small subunit ribosomal RNA", at positions 524 to 776 of the family's 1533-position model. The record is from RNAcentral.
GACGUAGGGCGCGAGCGUUGUCCGGAUUUACUGGGCGUAAAGCGCGUGUAGGCGGUCUCGCAAGUCGGAUGUGAAAGCCCAGGGCUCAACCCUGGAAGUGCACUCGAUACUGCGAGGCUAGAGUCCCGGAGAGGAUGGUGGAACUCUCGGUGUAGAGGUGAAAUUCGUAGAUAUCGAGAAGAACACCGGUGGCGAAGGCGGCCAUCUGGACGGUGACUGACGCUGAGACGCGAAAGCGUGGGGAGCAAACAGG